UACGGAGGGGGCUAGCGUUGUUCGGAAUUACUGGGCGUAAAGCGCACGUAGGCGGGUGUGUAAGUCGAUUGUGAAAGCCCCAGGCUCAACCUGGGAAUUGCAGUCGAAACUGCAUAUCUUGAAUGCCCGAGAGGAUGGGAGAAUUCCUGGUGUAGAAGUGAAAUUCGUAGAUAUCAGGAGGAAUACCAGAGGCGAAGGCGCCUAUCUGGCGGUGCAUUGACGCUGAGGUGCGAAAGCGUGGGGAGCAAACAGG
This 253-nucleotide unclassified non-coding RNA is filed under the name uncultured Oligoflexaceae bacterium. RNAcentral describes it as "contains 16S-23S intergenic spacer region". It matches the Rfam family "Bacterial small subunit ribosomal RNA", at positions 524 to 776 of the family's 1533-position model. The record is from RNAcentral. Lineage: Bacteria; Pseudomonadati; Bdellovibrionota; Oligoflexia; Oligoflexales; Oligoflexaceae.